GCAGCAGGCACGCAAAUUACCCACUCCCGGCACGGGGAGGUAGUGACAAAAAAUAACGAUACGGGACUCUAUUGAGGCCCCGUAAUCGGAAUGAGUACACUUUAAAUCCUUUAACAAGGAUCCAUUGGAGGGCAAGUCUGGUGCCAGCAGCCGCGGUAAUUCCAGCUCCAAUAGCGUAUAUUAAAGUUGUUGCGGUUAAAAAGCUCGUAGUUGGUUCUGCGUGCCGCGCUGUCGGUUCGCCGCCUGUCGGUGUAACUGGCAUGUCGCGGCAUGUCCUGUCGGUGGUGAACGGGAUCCCCGGUGCUAACUGAGACUUCUUGUCAAAGUAAUGUGCCGUGUGUGAUGUCGUUUGCCGAUCUCUCCUACUCCGGUGCUCUUAAACGAGUGUCGAGGUAGGCCGACACGUUCACUUUGAACAAAUUAGAGUGCUUAAAGCAGGCUAAAAUAUCUGCCUGAAUAGUGGUGCAUGGAAUGAUAAAAUAGGACCUCGGUUCUAUUUUGUUGGUUUUAGGAAUAUGAGGUAAUGAUCAAUGUGGACUGGCGGGGGCAUUCGUAUUGCGACGUAGAGGUGAAAUUCUUGGAUCGUCGCAAGACGCACUAGAGCGAAAGCAUUUGCCAAGUAUGUCUUAAUUGAUCAAGAACGAAAGUUAGAGGUUCGAAGGCGAUCAGAUACCGCCCUAGUUCUAACCAUAAACGAUGCCAGCCAGCGAUCCGCCGAUGUUCCUAUAAUGACUCGGCGGGGAGCUUCUACUCGGGAAACCAAAGCUUUUGGGUUCCGGGGGAAGUAUGGUUGCAAAGCUGAAACUUAAAGGAAUUGACGGAAGGGCACCACCAGGAGUGGAGCCUGCGGCUUAAUUUGACUCAACACGGGAAACCUCACCAGGCCAGGACAUUGGAAGGAUUGACAGAUUGAUAGCUCUUUCUUGAUUCAGUGGGUAGUGGUGCAUGGCCGUUC
Molecule: ribosomal RNA, 955 nt
Filed under: Emesaya incisa
Lineage: Eukaryota; Metazoa; Arthropoda; Insecta; Hemiptera; Reduviidae
Description: SSU rRNA
Rfam family: Eukaryotic small subunit ribosomal RNA
Source: RNAcentral